Molecule: ribosomal RNA, 238 nt
Filed under: uncultured bacterium
Lineage: Bacteria
Description: partial 16S ribosomal RNA
Rfam family: Bacterial small subunit ribosomal RNA
Source: RNAcentral
GAUCCUGGCUCAGGAUGAACGCUAGCUACAGGCUUAACACAUGCAAGUCGAGGGCANCAUGAACUUAGCUUGCUAAGUUUGAUGGCGACCGGCGCACGGGUGAGUAACACGUAUCCAACCUGCCCGAUGACGUCGGGGAUAGCCUUUCGAAAGAAAGAUUAAUACCCGAUGCAUAGUUCUUCCGCAUGGUAGAACUAUUAAAGAAUUUCGGUCAUCGAUGGGGAUGCGUUCCAUUAGG